CCUACGGGUGGCAGCAGUGGGGAAUAUUGCACAAUGGGCGCAAGCCUGAUGCAGCGACGCCGCGUGAGGGAUGACGGCCUUCGGGUUGUAAACCUCUUUCAGUAGGGAAGAAGCGAAAGUGACGGUACCUGCAGAAGAAGCGCCGGCUAACUACGUGCCAGCAGCCGCGGUAAUACGUAGGGCGCGAGCGUUAUCCGGAAUUAUUGGGCGUAAAGAGCUCGUAGGCGGUUUGUCGCGUCUGCCGUGAAAGUCCGGGGCUUAACCCCGGAUCUGCGGUGGGUACGGGCAGACUAGAGUGCAGUAGGGGAGACUGGAAUUCCUGGUGUAGCGGUGAAAUGCGCAGAUAUCAGGAGGAACACCGAUGGCGAAGGCAGGUCUCUGGGCUGUAACUGACGCUGAGGAGCGAAAGCAUGGGGAGCGAACAGGAUUAGAUACCCGAGUAGUC
This 445-nucleotide ribosomal RNA is filed under the name uncultured bacterium. Its description in RNAcentral is "bacterial SSU rRNA". It matches the Rfam family "Bacterial small subunit ribosomal RNA", at positions 338 to 795 of the family's 1533-position model. The record is from RNAcentral.